RNAcentral lists this ribosomal RNA (236 nucleotides) under uncultured bacterium. Its description in RNAcentral is "partial 16S ribosomal RNA". It matches the Rfam family "Bacterial small subunit ribosomal RNA", at positions 100 to 334 of the family's 1533-position model. The record is from RNAcentral.
CGGGACGGGUGAGUAACGCGUGGGUAACCUGCCUCAUACAGGGGGGUAACAGUUAGAAAUGGCUGCUAAUACCGCAUAAGACCACAGUACUGCAUGGUACAGUGGUAAAAACUCCGGUGGUAUGAGAUGGACCCGCGUCUGAUUAGGUAGUUGGUGAGGUAACGGCCCACCAAGCCGACGAUCAGUAGCCGACCUGAGAGGGUGACCGGCCACAUUGGGACUGAGACACGGCCCAG